CCCUCUGCUACCCUGUCCCAGCUGGAAUGCUUUCCCAGCUUUGACUCACACAACAAACAGCUCCCAGUGAGUUAAUCAGGCAUGGGAAAACAGCUCUGGACCACUGGCUCCAUCACUUUAUGAGCUCUCAUUUUGGGACAAGCUGUGCCUGACCAGAGAGACAGGGCAUGCAGGCCUGGAGGUGGUGGUUAAAUAGAAUAGACUGAGGAAGAAGAUGCAAAAAGCUGGAAGAAGGGGGAUCCAAGUAGUGGUUGGUGGGAAACUGUCUGGAAAGGAUGAGGCCACAGCAAUGCUCCAUGCUCUCCUGCAGAUCCACACCUGCCUCACCAGGAGCUGAUGCGAGUCUGUUGCACAUCCUGGGCCAGGGCAGGUCCCAAGACAACCUCCUGGAGAAGAGUUUUGGAAGUCAGUCACAGCCAUGGGACAGCUCAGAUUCUAAAACCACCAGAGGCAAGGAGGAGUGGAGCUUUUCACCACAUAAAAACCAACAUGUUGCUCAUCCUCAGCGCUGCAAAGCUUCAGAACGUGACCCUGGCAUUCUCCACCGGUAGCAGAGCAGUUUUAUUUUCACUAGAAAUUCCCUCCCUUCUUCAUGCAGUCUCGAGGCUUUGGGGACCUGACAUCUGAUUCUGGAGUGCCACUUGUGCAGCGCAGCUGUUCCUCAGCCUCAUCCCAGGGCCCCACAGCAGCAGCUUCCCAAACAAACCCAGCUCAAAUAAAAAGGG
This is a long non-coding RNA of Cyanistes caeruleus (blue tit), 725 nucleotides long. RefSeq lists it as uncharacterized. NCBI's taxonomy places the organism in Eukaryota, Metazoa, Chordata, Aves, Passeriformes, Paridae. The record is from RefSeq and is a predicted model, not a curated record.